Molecule: transfer RNA, 75 nt
Filed under: Cordylochernes scorpioides
Lineage: Eukaryota; Metazoa; Arthropoda; Arachnida; Pseudoscorpiones; Chernetidae
Description: tRNA-Thr
Source: RNAcentral
GUCCAGGGUAGCCUAAUGGACAUGGCAUCUACCCAGUAAGCGGAACUUUGUAGGUUCGAUUCCCAUACAUGGACA